Molecule: long non-coding RNA, 381 nt
Filed under: Brachypodium distachyon (stiff brome)
Lineage: Eukaryota; Viridiplantae; Streptophyta; Magnoliopsida; Poales; Poaceae
Description: long non-coding RNA (BDIS_LNC006041)
Source: RNAcentral
CGCCUGAAUUGAAAAACAGGGGGGAGAGAUUCCAGGUGCGUCGCGUCGCGUUGCGUGACUAGUGCUGCUAAUCCAAUCGCUUGUUUUAUUUUACUUCUUUUUUGUUUUGAGGAACGCUCUUUGUCUCGUUGACAUUGCCUGGUUGCAGCAUCAAAACUCGUUGUUAAUAAUCGCUUCGUGAGGAUACGAAUCCCCCGGUUGGAACCGGAGGAAGCAGUAAAGAAAUAUGGCUGGGGAUCAGAUCAUCCCUUGCGAUCCGUUUAACGAUCUGCUUGCGAGAAUAAUAACGCGACAUGCAGUGCCUGCUGGGGCAGCUGGCGUUGCCUCUGACAGUGCCGAGGAGGUGGCUGGGAGGCGGGAGAAACUGCGGAGCUAGUGCUG